GACGGAGGCCCCGAGCGUUGUUCGAAAUCACUGGGCUUAAAGCGCGUGUAGGCGGGACGGCAAGUACUUUGUGAAAGCCCCGGCUUCAACCCGGGAAUUGCUUGGUAUACUGCCGUUCUUGAGGCAGGUAGGGGUCGCUGGAACCUUAGGUGGAGCGGUGAAAUGCGUAGAUAUCUAAGGGAACGCCUGUGGCGAAAGCGGGCGACUGGGCCUGUCCUGACGCUGAGACGCGAAAGCGUAGGGAGCAAACGGG
Molecule: ribosomal RNA, 253 nt
Filed under: uncultured bacterium
Lineage: Bacteria
Description: partial 16S ribosomal RNA
Rfam family: Bacterial small subunit ribosomal RNA
Source: RNAcentral